UACGGAAGGCAGCAGUGGGGAAUAUUGCACAAUGGGCGAAAGCCUGAUGCAGCUAUGCCGCGUGUAUGAAGAAGGCCUUAGGGUUGUAAAGUACUUUCAUCGGGGAGGAAAAAACAAAACUAAUAAUUUUAUUUCUUGACGUUACCCGAAAAAGAAGCACCGGCUAACUCCGUGCCAGCAGCCGCGGUAAUACGGAGGGUGCUAGCGUUAAUCAGAAUUACUGGGCGUAAAGAGCACGUAGGUGGUUUUUUAAGUCAGAUGUGAAAUCCCUGGGCUUAACCUAGGAACUGCAUUUUGAAACUGAAAUACUAGAGUAUCGUAGAGGGAGGUAGAAUUCUAGGUGUAGCGGUGAAAUGCGUAGAUAUCUGGAGGAAUACCUGUGGCGAAAGCGGCCUCCUAAACGAAUACUGACACUGAGGUGCGAAAGCGUUGGGGAGCAAACAGGGAUUAGAUACCCGU
This 459-nucleotide ribosomal RNA is filed under the name uncultured bacterium. RNAcentral describes it as "bacterial SSU rRNA". It matches the Rfam family "Bacterial small subunit ribosomal RNA", at positions 340 to 789 of the family's 1533-position model. The record is from RNAcentral.